Molecule: long non-coding RNA, 968 nt
Organism: Bacillus rossius redtenbacheri
Lineage: Eukaryota; Metazoa; Arthropoda; Insecta; Phasmatodea; Bacillidae
Exons: 2
Source: RefSeq, a predicted model, not a curated record
GCUACUUACCGCGUUAUCUUGGCGUCUCUUCGGUUGAGAGGCUUUUUUGCGGCAACGACGAACUCUUCCUUCGAAUUAGGAAUGUAGUCAUCGGUGUUAAGGGAUGUGAUCCCAGUAUCUAAAUUUAGUAGUAGCUAGUCAGUCGUUGUAAUUAGGCAACAAAUAAUGUUUUAGUUUACAUUUUAUUAAUUUUUUCUUCCUAAAUCAUGGUUUCUUCCGCGUCAUCCCGCGCUAUUCUCGGUCCGCGCCUUUCGGAUGUCGGCGCGAGACAUCUCCUGAGCCCUGGAGCUACACCCUGUUUGAGUCCGAGGGCGACUCACUGGUGCAGUAGAUGGAGCUCCACGAGGCCGAGCAAGGAACGCGGCCAUCCCUCUGCGACCAGAAGCUGCGCGCGGCCGCCGCGUGGCGCUGCGUCACCUCCAGCAUGGCGCGACCCUCCCGCCGGAGUCCAUCCGCCGCCACUGGCCGGGCCCGCAGGCUCGCUCAUCAGCGCCGCCGUGACGUCACGCGCCGCCAAUUGCCCGCCCACCCGGCCGCCGGGGUCGCUGGACCGCUCCCACUACACCCACCCCUUCCUCACUCCCCGCCUGCUUGCCCGGUGCACCACGUCCUGUCAGCAUGCUCGACCAUCCCACUGGUGGUGUGUCUUCCACAUGUCUUCGACUCUAUGCACAUGCGUGUCAUGUCUACGUGCCCGCAUGUCUGUAUAUCCACCUGGUUGCGUGUCCAAUACAAGUCUGCGACUCUAUGCACAUGUGUUCUGUCUGCUUGUCUGCACAUCCACCUGGUUGUGUGUUCUCCUCAAGUCUGCGACUCUAUGUACCUGCCUCACGACCAACACCGAGCUCCAGUACGCCACUGUGGUUGGUAUAGUCUGUCGCACGCUGCGACUGCAGCACAGAGUAAAUGGAGACCACUGUACCCAGAUUGAUACCUGUGUUGUUCAAAUAAAAAAUAAUUAUUUUUUA